UUUCCGUUGGUGAACCAGCGGAAGGAUCAUUACAGAGUUCAUGCCCUUCGGGGUAGACCUCCCACCCUGUUUAAUUACUAUUGUUGCUUUGGCAGGCUGCCCUCACCAUGGGGCGUCCGGGUUCCGCCCGCGUCUUGCCUGCCAGAAGCCCCCUAAUUCUGUGUUCUAUGUCGUCUGAGUACUAUAUAAUAAGUUAAAACUUUCAACAACGGAUCUCUUGGUUCUG
RNAcentral lists this unclassified non-coding RNA (226 nucleotides) under plant metagenome. RNAcentral describes it as "partial contains small subunit ribosomal RNA, internal transcribed spacer 1, and 5.8S ribosomal RNA". The record is from RNAcentral.